GCUUAGCCCUAAACUCAARCGAYCAUCACAASWACAUCGUUCGCCAGAGUACUACUAGCAAUAGCUUAAAACUCAAAGGACUUGGCGGUGCUUCACAUCCUUCUAGAGGAGCCUGUCCUAUAAUCGAUAAACCCCGAUAAACCUCACCAACCCUUGCUAAUCCAGCCUAUAUACCGCCAUCCUCAGCAAACCCUAAAAAGGAACUGUAGUAAGCACAAUUAUAAGACAUAAAAACGUUAGGUCAAGGUGUAGCCCAUGAGUUGGGAAGAGAUGGGCUACAUUUUCUUUCCAAAGAACACCCAUUUCAACAUACGAAAGUCCCCAUGCAACRGAGGACUAAAGGUGGAUUUAGCAGUAAAUUAAGAACAGAGAGCUUAAUUGAAUCUGGCCAUGAAGCACGC
Molecule: ribosomal RNA, 401 nt
Filed under: Doryrhina cyclops (cyclops roundleaf bat)
Lineage: Eukaryota; Metazoa; Chordata; Mammalia; Chiroptera; Hipposideridae
Description: partial small subunit ribosomal RNA
Source: RNAcentral